RNAcentral lists this long non-coding RNA (205 nucleotides) under Nicotiana benthamiana. RNAcentral's name for it is "long non-coding RNA (NBEN_LNC009681)". The record is from RNAcentral. Lineage: Eukaryota; Viridiplantae; Streptophyta; Magnoliopsida; Solanales; Solanaceae.
AACACUUUUAUUCUUCAAACUUCACACUUACAAUCUCACAAUUCCCUUCUAAACUCAUAGUAUUCUGACUGCUUGUUUGCACUGUGGUUUUACAACACUACUGCCUUCUUCUUACUUGUUCUUGUAAGACUGGUAUGACCUAGUUUUAGUUUCAGCAUCAUCCCAAUAUGUUUACUUACAACCUUUACAUCCAUGUCUACUUUAC